This 64-nucleotide transfer RNA is filed under the name unidentified. RNAcentral's name for it is "Idiocerus herrichii tRNA-Cys". The record is from RNAcentral.
AAUCUUAUAGUUUAAUUUAAAACCCUAAAUUGCAAAUUUAAUAAUGAGUGCAACUCUAAGAUUU